AUGGACAGCGCAGACACCACCGUCGCCGGCGGCCGCGUCCUGCUCCUGCCGUUCCCGGGCAUGCAGGGCCACGCCAACCCCAUGCUCCAGCUCGGCCGCCGCCUCGCCUACCACGGCCUCCGCCCCACCCUCGUCCUCACCCGCCACGUCCUCUCCGCCACCCCCACCACCCAGUGCCCCUUCCCCGUGGCCGCCAUCUCCGACGGCUUCGACGCCGGCGGCAUCGCCUCGUGCGCCGACACCGCCGAGUACCUGCGCCGCAUGGAGGCCGCCGGCUCCGACACGCUCGCGUCGCUCCUCCUCGCCGACGACGUACGGGUGCUCGUGUACGACUCGCACCUGCCGUGGGCGCGGCGCGUGGCGCGGGAGGCCGGCGUGGCCGCCGCCGCCUUCUUCACGCAGAUGUGCGCGGUGGACGUGGUCUACGGCGAGGUCUCCGCGGGGCGGGUGCCGCUGCCGCUCGCGGACGGGCGCGCGCUCCGGGGCAGGCUCUCCGUGGAGCUCGGGCCCGACGACGUGCCGCCGUUCGUCGCCGCGCCGGCGUGGUACCCAGCGUUCACGGAAUCGGCGCUGUCGCAGUUCGACGGGCUGGACCAGGCCGAUCACGUGCUCGUCAACUCCUUCCGCGACCUCGAGCCAAUGGAGGCUGACUACAUGCAAUCCAAAUGGCGUGCAAAGACGGUCGGCCCGACAUUACCGUCGUUCUAUCUAGACGAUGAUCGCCUGCUGUCGAACAAGGCCUACGGCUUCAACCUCGUCUCGAGCACCUCUCCGUGCAUGGCAUGGCUCGACAAGCAGGCUCCUUGCUCUGUGCUCCUCGCAUCCUAUGGCACGGUCGCCAACCUCGAGACGACCCAACUAGAGGAGCUAGGUCAUGGAUUGUGCAACUCCGGACAGCCCUUCCUUUGGGUGUUGAGGUCCAACGAGGCAGAUAAGUUGCCCCAAGAACUCCAUGACAAAUGCAACAUGAAAGGCCUAAUUGUCUCAUUUUGCCCUCAACUGGAGGUAUUGGUUCACAGGGCCACAGGUUGUUUCUUGACGCAUUGUGGAUGGAACUCGACAACUGAAGCAAUUGCCACCGGUGUACCCAUGAUCACAAUACCGCAAUGGGCGGACCAACCGACCACCGCAAAGUACGUGGAGAGCGUGUGGGGGAUCGGCCUGCGUGCGCGUCGAGACGAGAAAGGCUUGGUGAGAAGGGAGGAGGUGGAGAGGUGCAUCAAGGAGGUGAUGGGUGGAGAAGAGUAUAAGAGAAAUUCUUCUAAGUGGAUGCAGAAGGCCAAAGAGGCUAUGCAGGAAGGAGGGAGCUCUGACAAAAACAUUGCAGAUUUUGCUGCCAAAUAUUUAUGA
RNAcentral lists this ribosomal RNA (1350 nucleotides) under Triticum aestivum (bread wheat). Its description in RNAcentral is "partial small subunit ribosomal RNA". The record is from RNAcentral. Lineage: Eukaryota; Viridiplantae; Streptophyta; Magnoliopsida; Poales; Poaceae.